RNAcentral lists this ribosomal RNA (243 nucleotides) under uncultured bacterium. RNAcentral's name for it is "partial 16S ribosomal RNA". It matches the Rfam family "Bacterial small subunit ribosomal RNA", at positions 534 to 776 of the family's 1533-position model. The record is from RNAcentral.
GCAUGCGUUGUCCGGAUUUAUUGGGCGUAAAGAGCGUGUAGGCGGCCGCACAGGUCCGUUGUGAAAACUGGAGGCUUAACCUUCAGACGUCGAUGGAAACCGUGCGGCUAGAGUCCGGAAGAGGAGAAUGGAAUUCCUGGUGUAGCGGUGAAAUGCGCAGAUAUCAGGAAGAACACCCGUGGCUAAGGCGGUUCUCUAGUACGGUACUGACGCUGAGACGCGAAAGCGUGGGGAGCGAACAGG